Molecule: ribosomal RNA, 636 nt
Filed under: Salmonella enterica
Lineage: Bacteria; Pseudomonadati; Pseudomonadota; Gammaproteobacteria; Enterobacterales; Enterobacteriaceae
Description: partial 23S ribosomal RNA
Rfam family: Bacterial large subunit ribosomal RNA
Source: RNAcentral
GAAUGCUGACAUAAGUAACGAUAAAGCGGGUGAAAAGCCCGCUCGCCGGAAGACCAAGGGUUCCUGUCCAACGUUAAUCGGGGCAGGGUGAGUCGACCCCUAAGGCGAGGCCGAAAGGCGUAGUCGAUGGGAAACGGGUUAAUAUUCCCGUACUUGGUGUUACUGCGAAGGGGGGACGGAGAAGGCUAUGUUGGCCGGGCGACGGUUGUCCCGGUUUAAGCGUGUAGGUGUGUGUUCCAGGUAAAUCCGGUUCACUUUAACACUGAGGCGUGAUGACGAGGCACUACGGUGCUGAAGCAACAAAUGCCCUGCUUCCAGGAAAAGCCUCUAAGCAUCAGGUAACAUCAAAUCGUACCCCAAACCGACACAGGUGGUCAGGUAGAGAAUACCAAGGCGCUUGAGAGAACUCGGGUGAAGGAACUAGGCAAAAUGGUGCCGUAACUUCGGGAGAAGGCACGCUGACAUGUAGGUGAAGUGAUUUACUCAUGGAGCUGAAGUCAGUCGAAGAUACCAGCUGGCUGCAACUGUUUAUUAAAAACACAGCACUGUGCAAACACGAAAGUGGACGUAUACGGUGUGACGCCUGCCCGGUGCCGGAAGGUUAAUUGAUGGGGUCAGCGCAAGCGAAGCUCCUGA